This 382-nucleotide ribosomal RNA is filed under the name uncultured eukaryote. Its description in RNAcentral is "partial 18S ribosomal RNA". It matches the Rfam family "Eukaryotic small subunit ribosomal RNA", at positions 592 to 976 of the family's 1831-position model. The record is from RNAcentral.
UGUAAGCGUAUACCAAAGUUGUUGCAGUUAAAACGCUCGUAGUCGAAAUUUGGCAGUUCCGGAUGUGUGCACGUCGUGUGCGCACUUCGCGGGGAUUGCUUUUGUGGUCUUGCGUAGGAUGAGGCACUUUUAUUAGUGAACGUCCUCACGCAACCACUUUUUACUGUGAGAAAAUCAGAGUGCUCAAAGCAGGCAUUUGCCGUGAAUGUAUUAGCAUGGAAUAAUAGAAUAGGACUUGGUUCUAUUUUGUUGGUUUGUUGGGACUGAGUAAUGAUUAAGAGGGACAGUUGGGGGCAUUUGUAUUUCGGUGCUAGAGGUGAAAUUCUUAGAUUACCGAAAGACAAACUGCUGCGAAAGCGUCUGCCAAGGAUGUUUUCAUUGA